GGGCCCGCACAAGCGGCGGAGCAUGCGGAUUAAUUCGAUGCAACGCGAAGAACCUUACCAAGGCUUGACAUAUACCGAAAACUCAUGGAGACAUGGGGUCCGCAAGGGCGGUAUACAGGUGGUGCAUGGUUGUCGUCAGCUCGUGUCGUGAGAUGUUGGGUUAAGUCCCGCAACGAGCGCAACCCUCGUCCUAUGUUGCCAGCACAUCAUGGUGGGGACUCAUAGGAGACUGCCGGGGUCAACUCGGAGGAAGGUGGGGAUGACGUCAAAUCAUCAUGCCCCUUAUGUCUUGGGCUUCACGCAUGCUACAAUGGCCGGUACAAAGGGCUGCGAUACCGCAAGGUGGAGCGAAUCCCAAAAAGCCGGUCUCAGUUCGGAUUGGGGUCUGCAACUCGACCCCAUGAAGUCGGAGUCGCUAGUAAUCGCAGAUCAGCAACGCUGCGGUGAAUACGUUCCCGGGCCUUGUACACACCGCCCGUCAAGUCACGAAAGUCGGUAACACCCGAAGCCGGUGGCCCAACUCGCAAGAGGGGGAGCCGUCGAAGGUGGGACUGGCGAUUGGGACU
RNAcentral lists this ribosomal RNA (566 nucleotides) under uncultured bacterium. Its description in RNAcentral is "bacterial SSU rRNA". It matches the Rfam family "Bacterial small subunit ribosomal RNA", at positions 917 to 1482 of the family's 1533-position model. The record is from RNAcentral.